GGCUUUGACGGGUAACCGGCCUGAGAGGGUGACCGGUCACAUUGGGACUGAGAUACGGCCCAGACUCCUACGGGAGGCAGCAGUGGGGAAUUUUGCACAAUGGGCGAAAGCCUGAUGCAGCGACGCCGCGUGAGGGAUGACGGCCUUCGGGUUGUAAACCUCUUUCGCUCAUGGUCAAGGCUAGUUUUUGUUCUAGUUGAGGGUAGUGGGUAAAGAAGCGCCGGCUAACUACGUGCCAGCAGCCGCGGUAAUACGUAGGGCGCGAGCGUUGUCCGGAAUUAUUGGGCGUAAAGGGCUUGUAGGCGGCUUGUCGCGUCUGCCGUGAAAUCCUGGGGCUUAACCUUGGGCUUGCGGUGGGUACGGGCUGGCUUGAGUGCGGUAGGGGAGACUGGAAUUCCUGGUGUAGCGGUGGAAUGCGCAGAUAUCAGGAGGAACACCGGUGGCGAAGGCGGGUCUCUGGGCCGUUACUGACGCUGAGGAGCGAAAGCGUGGGGAGCGAACAGGAUUAGAUACCCUGGUAGUCCACGCUGUAAACGUUGGGCACUAGGUGUGGGGGCCACCCGUGGUUUCUGCGCCGUAGCUAACGCAUUAAGUGCCCCGCCUGGGGAGUACGGCCGCAAGGCUAAAACUCAAAGGAAUUGACGGGGGCCCGCACAAGCGGCGGAGCAUGCGGAUUAAUUCGAUGCAACGCGAAGAACCUUACCAAGGCUUGACAUGCACCGCGACACUGCAGAGAUGUGGUGGCCUUCGGGGUGGUGUGCAGGUGGUGCAUGGUUGUCGUCAGCUCGUGUCGUGAGAUGUUGGGUUAAGUCCCGCAACGAGCGCAACCCUUGCCCUAUGUUGCCAGCACGUGAUGGUGGGGACUCGUGGGGGACUGCCGGGGUUAACUCGGAGGAAGGUGGGGAUGACGUCAAAUCAUCAUGCCCCUUAUGUCUUGGGCUUCACGCAUGCUACAAUGGCUGGUACAGAGGGUUGCGAUACUGUGAGGUGGAGCGAAUCCCUUAAAGCCAGUCUCAGUUCGGAUUGGGGUCUGCAACUCGACCCCAUGAAGGUGGAGUCGCUAGUAAUCGCAGAUCAGCAACGCUGCGGUGAAUACGUUCUCGGGCCUUGUACACACCGCCCGUCACGUCACGAAAGUUGGUAACACCCGAAGCCCAUGGCCUAACC
RNAcentral lists this ribosomal RNA (1167 nucleotides) under Schaalia canis. Its description in RNAcentral is "bacterial SSU rRNA". It matches the Rfam family "Bacterial small subunit ribosomal RNA", at positions 272 to 1440 of the family's 1533-position model. The record is from RNAcentral. Lineage: Bacteria; Bacillati; Actinomycetota; Actinomycetes; Actinomycetales; Actinomycetaceae.